GACGAACGCUGGCGGCGUGCUUAACACAUGCAAGUCGAACGAAGAGCGAUGGAAGCUUGCUUCUCUCAAUCUUAGUGGCGAACGGGUGAGUAACGCGUAAUCAACCUGCCCUUCAGAGGGGGACAACAGUUGGAAACGACAGCUAAUACCGCAUACGAUCUAAUCUCGGCAUCGAGGAUAGAUGAAAGGUGGCCUCUACAUGUAAGCUAUCACUGAAGGAGGGGAUUGCGUCUGAUUAGCUAGUUGGAGGGGUAACGGCCCACCAAGGCGAUGAUCAGUAGCCGGUCUGAGAGGAUGAACGGCCACAUUGGGACUGAGACACGGCCCAGACUCCUACGGGAGGCAGCAGUGGGGAAUCUUCCGCAAUGGACGAAAGUCUGACGGAGCAACGCCGCGUGAGUGAUGACGGCCUUCGGGUUGUAAAGCUCUGUUAAUCGGGACGAAAGGCCUUCUUGCGAAUAGUGAGAAGGAUUGACGGUACCGGAAUAGAAAGCCACGGCUAACUACGUG
This 510-nucleotide ribosomal RNA is filed under the name uncultured bacterium. RNAcentral describes it as "partial 16S ribosomal RNA". It matches the Rfam family "Bacterial small subunit ribosomal RNA", at positions 28 to 507 of the family's 1533-position model. The record is from RNAcentral.